RNAcentral lists this ribosomal RNA (380 nucleotides) under Hypothalassia armata. RNAcentral's name for it is "partial 12S ribosomal RNA". The record is from RNAcentral. Lineage: Eukaryota; Metazoa; Arthropoda; Malacostraca; Decapoda; Hypothalassiidae.
GAUACCCUAUUAUACUAAAAAGCAAAAUUAAGAGAGCCGGAUUAUUAUUAGAUAUAUUCUUUAAAUUCGAAGAAUUUGGCGGUGGUUUAGUCUUGUCAGAGGAACCUGUUUUUGAAUCGAUACACCACGUAAAAUCUUGCUCGUUUUUGUUUUCAGCUUAUAUACCGUCAUUAGUAGAUAAUUUUAAGAGAAUAAAUUAUUAAGGUUUAUAUAGAUUAAGUUAAAUUAGAUCAAGGUGUAGCUUAUAAAUGAGUUGAAAUGGGUUACAAUAAAUUUUAUUUAUAACGGAAUAAACUAAGGAAGGAUAGGUUUUAAAGGAGGAUUUGAUUGUAAUAUAAGUUUAAUAUGCUUAGGAGAUAUAAGCCCUAAAUCAUGUACAU